Molecule: ribosomal RNA, 497 nt
Filed under: uncultured bacterium
Lineage: Bacteria
Description: bacterial SSU rRNA
Rfam family: Bacterial small subunit ribosomal RNA
Source: RNAcentral
GACGCAGCGACGCGCGUGCGGGAUGAAGGCCUUCGGGUCGUAAACCGCUGUCGGGAGGGACGAAAUCAAUGACGGUACCUCCAAAGGAAGCACCGGCUAACUCUGUGCCAGCAGCCGCGGUAAUACAGAGGGUGCGAGCGUUGUCCGGAAUCACUGGGCGUAAAGGGCGCGUAGGCGGCCUGAUAAGUAGGGGGUGAAAUCCUGCGGCUCAACCGCAGGGCUGCCUUCUAGACUGUCAGGCUUGAGCACAGUAGAGGCAGGUGGAAUUCCCGGUGUAGCGGUGGAAUGCGUAGAGAUCGGGAAGAACAUCGGUGGCGAAGGCGGCCUGCUGGGCUGUUGCUGACGCUGAGGCGCGACAGCGUGGGGAGCAAACAGGAUUAGAUACCCUGGUAGUCCACGCCGUAAACGAUGGGUACUAGGCGUCGGGGGGAGCGACCCCCUCGGUGCCGUCGUUAACACAGUAAGUACCCCGCCUGGGGAGUACGGCCGCAAGGCUG